This 818-nucleotide ribosomal RNA is filed under the name uncultured bacterium. RNAcentral describes it as "bacterial SSU rRNA". It matches the Rfam family "Bacterial small subunit ribosomal RNA", at positions 8 to 795 of the family's 1533-position model. The record is from RNAcentral.
AGAGUUUGAUCCUGGCUCAGGACGAACGCUGGCGGCGUGCCUAAUACAUGCAAGUCGAACGAAACUUUCUUACACCGAAUGCUUGCAUUCAUCGUAAGAAGUUGAGUGGCGGACGGGUGAGUAACACGUGGGUAACCUGCCUAAAAGAAGGGGAUAACACUUGGAAACAGGUGCUAAUACCGUAUAUCUCUAAGGAUCGCAUGAUCCUUAGAUGAAAGAUGGUUCUGCUAUCGCUUUUAGAUGGACCCGCGGCGUAUUAACUAGUUGGUGGGGUAACGGCCUACCAAGGUGAUGAUACGUAGCCGAACUGAGAGGUUGAUCGGCCACAUUGGGACUGAGACACGGCCCAAACUCCUACGGGAGGCAGCAGUAGGGAAUCUUCCACAAUGGACGCAAGUCUGAUGGAGCAACGCCGCGUGAGUGAAGAAGGUCUUCGGAUCGUAAAACUCUGUUGUUAGAGAAGAACACGAGUGAGAGUAACUGUUCAUUCGAUGACGGUAUCUAACCAGCAAGUCACGGCUAACUACGUGCCAGCAGCCGCGGUAAUACGUAGGUGGCAAGCGUUGUCCGGAUUUAUUGGGCGUAAAGGGAACGCAGGCGGUCUUUUAAGUCUGAUGUGAAAGCCUUCGGCUUAACCGGAGUAGUGCAUUGGAAACUGGAAGACUUGAGUGCAGAAGAGGAGAGUGGAACUCCAUGUGUAGCGGUGGAAUGCGUAGAUAUAUGGAAGAACACCAGUGGCGAAGGCGGCUCUCUGGUCUGCAACUGACGCUGAGGCUCGAAAGCAUGGGUAGCGAACAGGAUUAGAUACCCUGGUAGUC